RNAcentral lists this long non-coding RNA (864 nucleotides) under Nicotiana tabacum (common tobacco). Its description in RNAcentral is "long non-coding RNA (NTAB_LNC008824)". The record is from RNAcentral. Lineage: Eukaryota; Viridiplantae; Streptophyta; Magnoliopsida; Solanales; Solanaceae.
UGGCUGAAUGGAAAAAGUUCAGUUUAGGGUUUAAAACCCUAAUGCUGACUAAAGGGAAAAUUUAGUUUAGGGUUUAAAACCUAAUGCUGAUUACAUGGAAAAGCUCAGUUUAGGGUUUAAAACCCUAAUGCUGGCUGAAUGGAAAAAAGUUCAGUUUAGGGUUUAAAACCCUAAUGCUGACUGCAUGGAAAAGCUCAGUUUGGGGUUUAAAACUCUAAUGCUGGCUAAAGGAAAAAUUCAGUUUAGUGUUUGAAACCCUAAUGCUGAUCGCAUGGAAAAAAGUUCAGUUUAGGGUUUAAAACCCUAAUGCUGACUGGAAGGAAAAGCUCAGUUUGGGGUUUAAAACCCUAAUGCUGGCUGAAUGGGAAAAAGUUCAGUUUAGGGUUUAAAACCCUAAUGCUGACUAAAGGAAAAAUUCAGUUUAGGGUUUAAAACCCUAAUGCUGAUCGCAUGGAAAAGCUCAGUUUAGGGUUUAAAACUCUAAUGCUGGCUGAAUGGAAAAGUUCAGUUUAAGGUUUAAAACCCUAAUGCUGACUGCAUGGAAAAGCUCAGUUUAGGGUUUAAAACCCUAAUGCUGGCUGAAUGGAAAAAAAGUUCAGUUUAGGGUUCAAAACCCUAAUGCUGACUAAAGGAAAAAUCAGUUUAGGGUUUAAAACCCUAAUGCUGAUUGCAUGGAAAAAUUCAGUUUAGGGUUUAAAACCCUAAUGCUGAUUAAAAUGGAAAAAGUUUAGGGUUCAAAACCCUAAUGCUGAUGGUUGGGGACAAACUUCGAGAACAACCACUGACUUCUCUUUUUUUUUGAAUUUUCUUACUUUAGUUCAAGAUAUAAAAGGAGUUUCGUGGAAACUUACCUUUCGAGUGAAU